RNAcentral lists this ribosomal RNA (966 nucleotides) under Triticum aestivum (bread wheat). RNAcentral's name for it is "partial small subunit ribosomal RNA". Lineage: Eukaryota; Viridiplantae; Streptophyta; Magnoliopsida; Poales; Poaceae. The record is from RNAcentral.
AUGACCUCUGCAACUCUGAUCAGGAAGCACGACAGCGGCACCGAGGUCCAUGAACUUUCCAGUGUGAAGAUUGAGGUGCUCCUGCCUAACAAAAAGGUUGUCAAGGGGCAGUUGCUGAUGUACGAUUUGCACUAUAAUGUCGCCAUCGUUUCCGUCGAGUGCGAAGCUGAUCUCCUCGUGGCGGUGCUCGCCGACCUCCCGGGCUCCUACUUCCUGACACCUACUCCAGUCGUUUCGGUUGCCUGGAAAUUUGAGUCUGGAAGUUUGCAGCUGAAACGUGGGGAGACAUUCCGUGCAGUUAGCGAGUUAGAUUGCAAUGAACUUAUGGUCUGCACUUGUCAAAUGGAGCCUCAGAGGCAAAACAAGGAUAACAGCAUUCAGUAUAUUACGACGAUUUUCAUUGGGGGUCUUCUGAUUGAUUUGGAAGGAAGAAUUGUUGGUAUGAAUUUCAUAGACGAGAAUAAAACUCCCUUUUUGCCUGUCCAGCUUGUUGGGAGAUGCCUGAAACAUUUCAGAAAGUUUGGGCGAAUCAAACAACCAUUUCUAGGAAUAAGGGGCCGGGGGCUUCACAUGUUGGAAUUAAAGGACUUGGAGAAAAUAUGCCACAAGUACCAUAAGCCACCUUCUGGAAUUCUGGUGGAGAAGAUUCCUGAAGUAUCAUCUGCAAAUUGUGGAGGCAUUGAGGCUGGUGAUAUCAUUAAUAAACUUGAUGGAGUUGUUUUGCACUCUCCAGCACAGCUUACAACAAUGCUUCUAGACACAAUGGAGGUUGCAGUGAAUAUGCAGCCAGUCGUCCUCCAGGCGACUGUCUUGAGACCCAGGGAUGGUACAACAUUUGUUGCAAACCUAAAAGUAGUGGAAUGCCCCCAUGGUGAAUGCCAUAUGUUGCUCAAAAACAGAUGGAGACUGCCACCGCCAAAAGAGUAUUGGUGGGGGCCAAGUGAAUGGCAUGAUUACUCCGACUAA